AGAGUUUGAUCCUGGCUCAGGAUGAACGCUGGCGGCGUGCCUAAUACAUGCAAGUCGUGCGGUAGCAGGCUUUCACUAUUUGCUUCUCUCUCAUCUGUCAGAUGGGAUCAAGAGGAGGAAGUGGUGAAAGUGCUGACGAGCGGCGGACGGGUGAGUAACGCGUAGGAACGUGCCCCAAAGUGAGGGAUAAGCUCAGGAAACUGAGUCUAAUACCGCAUAUGGUCUUCGGAUUAAAGCCUUCGGGCGCUUUGGGAACGGCCUGCGUACGAUUAGAUUGUUGGUGAGGUAAAGGCUCACCAAGUCGACGAUCGUUAGCUGGUCUGAGAGGAUGAUCAGCCACACUGGAACUGAGACACGGUCCAGACUCCUACGGGAGGCAGCAGUAAGGAAUCUUCCACAAUGGGGGCAACCCUGAUGGAGCAACGCCGCGUGAAGGAUGAAGGCCCUAGGGUCGUAAACUUCUUUUGUUAGUGAAGAAUAUGACAGUAACUAACGAAUAAGGGUCGGCUAACUACGUGCCAGCAGCCGCGGUCAUACGUAGGACCCAAGCGUUAUCCGGAGUGACUGGGCGUAAAGAGUUGCGUAGGCGGCUUAUUAAGUGGAUAGUGAAACCUGGUGGCUCAACCAUACAGACUAUUAUCCAAACUGAUAAGCUUGAGAAUGGUAGAGGUGAUUGGAAUUUCUAGUGUAGGGGUAAUAUCCGUAGAUAUUAGAAGGAACACCAAUGGCGUAGGCAGAUCACUGGACCAUUUCUGACGCUGAGGCACGAAAGCGUGGGGAGCGAACCGGAUUAGAUACCCGGGUAGUCCACGCCGUAAACGAUGGAUGCUAGCUGUGGGGGGUAUCGACCCCCUCCGUAGCGAAGCUAACGCGUUAAGCAUCCCGCCUGUGGAGUACGGCCGCAAGGCUAAAACAUAAAGGAAUUGACGGGGACCCGCACAAGUAGUGGAUCGUGUUCUUUAAUUCGAUGGUAAACGAAGAACCUUACCAGGGCUUGACAUCCCUUGAAUUUUGUCGAAAGACGAGAGUGCUUUAUUGAACAAGGUGACAGGUGAUGCAUGGCCGUCGUCAGCUCGUGUCGUGAGAUGUUUGGUUAAGUCCAUCAACGAGCGCAACCCUUAUAGUUAGUUGAAUUUUUCUAGCUAGACUGCCCCGGUAACGGGGAGGAAGGAGGGGAUGAUGUCAGGUCAGUAUUUCCCUUACGUCCUGGGCUAGAAACGCGAUACAAUGGCCGGUACAACGGGCAGCCAAGCCGCAAGGCGGAGCAAAUCCCAACAAAGCCGGUCUCAGUUCGGAUAAGAGGCUGAAACUCGCCUCUUUGAAGUCGGAAUUACUAGUAAUCGCAGAUCAGCAUGCUGCGGUGAAUACGUUCCCGGGUCUUGUACACGCCGCCCGUCAAACCAUGAAAGUGACCAACACCCGAAGUCCGAUUCGUCGGCCUAAGGUGGGGGGCAUGAUUGGGGUUAAGUCGUAACAAGGUAACC
This 1484-nucleotide ribosomal RNA is filed under the name uncultured bacterium. RNAcentral describes it as "bacterial SSU rRNA". It matches the Rfam family "Bacterial small subunit ribosomal RNA". The record is from RNAcentral.